This is a non-coding RNA of Ictidomys tridecemlineatus (thirteen-lined ground squirrel), 69 nucleotides long. Lineage: Eukaryota; Metazoa; Chordata; Mammalia; Rodentia; Sciuridae. The record is from Rfam.
GGGGUUGUGGCUCAGAGGUAGAGCGCUCGCCUGACAUGCGUGGGGCUCUGGGUUCGAUCCUCAGCACCA